UCUUUCAAGGAGGCAGCGGGGAUUCGACUUCCCCUGGGGGUAGGGUUA
RNAcentral lists this transfer RNA (48 nucleotides) under Parapiptadenia ilheusana. Its description in RNAcentral is "partial tRNA-Glu". The record is from RNAcentral. Lineage: Eukaryota; Viridiplantae; Streptophyta; Magnoliopsida; Fabales; Fabaceae.